RNAcentral lists this ribosomal RNA (495 nucleotides) under uncultured bacterium. RNAcentral's name for it is "partial 16S ribosomal RNA". It matches the Rfam family "Bacterial small subunit ribosomal RNA", at positions 28 to 507 of the family's 1533-position model. The record is from RNAcentral.
GAUGAACGCUGGCGGCGUGCCUAAUACAUGCAAGUAGAACGCUGAAGGAGGAGCUUGCUCUUCUGGAUGAGUUGCGAACGGGUUAGUAACGCGUAGGUAACCUGCCUGGUAGCGGGGGAUAACUAUUGGAAACGAUAGCUAAUACCGCAUGACAACAGUUAUUGCAUGAUAACUGUUUAAAAGGGGCAACUGCUCCACUACCAGAUGGACCUGCGUUGUAUUAGCUAGUUGGUGAGGUAACGGCUCACCAAGGCGACGAUACAUAGCCGACCUGAGAGGGUGAUCGGCCACACUGGGACUGAGACACGGCCCAGACUCCUACGGGAGGCAGCAGUAGGGAAUCUUCGGCAAUGGACGGAAGGCUGACCGAGCAACGCCGCGUGAGUGAAGAAGGUUUUCGGAUCGUAAAGCUCUGUUGUAAGAGAAGAACGAGUGUGAGAGUGGAAAGUUCACACUGUGACGGUAUCUUACCAGAAAGGGACGGCUAACUACGUG